UGUAGUACUUUGUUUUUUGU
This 20-nucleotide microRNA is filed under the name Corchorus olitorius. Its description in RNAcentral is "ssc-miR-36". Lineage: Eukaryota; Viridiplantae; Streptophyta; Magnoliopsida; Malvales; Malvaceae. The record is from RNAcentral.